Molecule: ribosomal RNA, 1566 nt
Filed under: Triticum aestivum (bread wheat)
Lineage: Eukaryota; Viridiplantae; Streptophyta; Magnoliopsida; Poales; Poaceae
Description: partial small subunit ribosomal RNA
Source: RNAcentral
AUGGCCACCAUGGGCGCCUUCCGGACCUUCCUCCUCUCCUACCCGGAGAUCCUCCUGGCCGCUCUCUGCUUCCUCUCCCUGGCCGCCCUCCGCCUCGCUCUGCGGUGCCGCGGCAGCAGCGUGCCGCUGCGAUGGCCGGUCGUCGGCAUGCUCCCGUUCGUGCUCAGCAACCUCGGCCACCUCCUGGACGCCGCCACCGCCGCGCUCAGGGACUCGGGGUGCAUGUUCGUGUUCCGCGGGCCGUGGCUCGUCGGCGGCGACUUCCUCGUCACGUGCGACCCGGCCGCCGUGCACCACUGCCUCGCGGCCAACUUCGACUGCUACGACAAGGGCCACGACUUCGCCGAGAUGUUCGACGUCGCCGGCAACGGGCUGCUGAACGCGGACGCCGUGUCCUGGGCGCGGCAGCGGCAGGUCGUCGCCACCGUCUUCGCCGCCCCCGUGUUCCGCUCCUUCGUCAUAUCCACCGUCGCGCGGCAGACGGCGCGGCUCCUGCUGCCGUUCAUGGACCACGCCGCCGCGGCCGGGCGCGCCGUCGAGCUCGAGGACGUGUUCAUGCGCUUCUCGCUCGACGUCUCCUACGCCGUGGUGUUCGCCGCUGACCUCGACUCGCUGACCGUCUCCGCCGCCGACGCCCCGUACCCGCCCUUCGGCCAGGCGACCAGGAUCGCCGGGGAGGCCGUCAUGUUCCGGCACGUCGUGCCGGCUCGGUGGUGGAAGCUGCUGAGGUGGCUCAACGUCGGCAUCGAGAGGAGGUUCGCCGAGGCCAAGGCGGUGCUCGACGAGUUCGUCUACCUCGAGAUCGCGAACCGCAAGGCAAAACCUCUCCCCCAAGGAGAAGGACAAGGCGGCGACCUGCUGUCCAUGUACAUGGCGUGGCCAAGGGACCCCGCCAUGACCGACCGGCAGAGGGACGAGUUCCUCCGCGACGCCGCCGUCGGCUACAUGAUCGCGGCCAAGGACCUCGUCGCGUCCGCGCUCACCUGGCUCUUCUACAUGCUCUGCACGCACCCGCACGUGGAAGACAAGGUCCUCGCCGAGCUCGAGUCGCUGCGCGCCAACGCCGCGUGCUGCGGCGGUAAACCGGUCGUGUUCGACUGCGACACGCUCCGGUCGGCGACCUACCUCCACGCGGCGGUGCUGGAGACGCUGCGCUUGCACCCGCCCGCGCCGUUCGAGGAGAAGGAGGCGCGCGCCGACGACGUGCUGCCGGACGGCACGAGGGUGACCAAGGGCACCAGGAUCCUCUUCUGCAUCUACGCCAUGGGCAGAGUGGAGGGGAUAUGGGGCGACGACUGCCGGGAGUACCGGCCGGAGCGGUGGCUGUCCGGCAGCGGCCGGGUCCGGCACCAGCCGAGCUACAAGUUCGCAGCCUUCAACUGCGGGCCCAGGAGUUGCCUGGGCAAGGACCUGGGGCUCAUCAACCUCAAGAUCGCCGCCGCGGCCAUCAUAUAUAACUUCCGGGUGGAGCUCGUCGACGGCCAUGUGGUGGAGCCCAGCGACUCGGUGGUGCUCCACACCAAGAACGGCCUCAUGGUUAAGCUCAAGAGAAGGGAAGUGGCUUGA